GACGAACGCUGGCGGCGUGCCUAAUACAUGCCAGUAGAACGCACAGUUUAUACCGUAGCUUGCUACACCAUAGACUGUGAGUUGCGAACGGGUGAGUAACGCGUAGGUAACCUGCCUGGUAGCGGGGGAUAACUAUUGGAAACGAUAGCUAAUACCGCAUCAUAUUGAUUAUUGCAUGAUAAUUGAUUGAAAGAUGCUAUUGCAUCACUACCAGAUGGACCUGCGUUGUAUUAGCUAGUAGGUGAGGUAACGGCUCACCUAGGCGACGAUACAUAGCCGACCUGAGAGGGUGAUCGGCCACACUGGGACUGAGACACGGCCCAGACUCCUACGGGAGGCAGCAGUAGGGAAUCUUCGGCAAUGGACGAAAGUCUGACCGAGCAACGCCGCGUGAGUGAAGAAGGUUUUCGGAUCGUAAAGCUCUGUUGUAAGAGAAGAACGGGUGUGAGAGUGGAAAGUUCACACUGUGACGGUAUCUUACCAGAAAGGGACGGCUAACUACGUG
Molecule: ribosomal RNA, 505 nt
Filed under: uncultured bacterium
Lineage: Bacteria
Description: partial 16S ribosomal RNA
Rfam family: Bacterial small subunit ribosomal RNA
Source: RNAcentral